UACGAAGGGGGCUAGCGUUGUUCGGAAUCACUGGGCGUAAAGCGCACGUAGGCGGCUUUCUAAGUCAGGGGUGAAAUCCUGGAGCUCAACUCCAGAACUGCCUUUGAUACUGGAGAGCUUGAGUCCGGAAGAGGUGAGUGGAACUCCGAGUGUAGAGGUGAAAUUCGUAGAUAUUCGGAAGAACACCAAUGGCGAAGGCAGCUCACUGGUCCGGUACUGACGCUGAGGUGCGAAAGCGUGGGGAGCAAACAGG
RNAcentral lists this ribosomal RNA (253 nucleotides) under uncultured bacterium. Its description in RNAcentral is "partial 16S ribosomal RNA". It matches the Rfam family "Bacterial small subunit ribosomal RNA", at positions 524 to 776 of the family's 1533-position model. The record is from RNAcentral.